CAAUUUAACUAUGAUUUUCUCCCUAGUUCCAGUUAAUAGAGUAGUUGGAUCUGCUGGAGGCAAGUUCAUCAAAUGUGGGAUGCACAAUGAAUCCACUCUGAGCUCUGUCUCUGAUUCACCAUGUGCAAUGAAUCCAGCAAUUUGCUGCUACUUGAAGCCUUUCUAAUUUCCCUGGCAUUUGCAGGAAGGUCCAUGGUCACCCUGUGGAAGCAGGAGACCUGGUUUAUCCUAAACUUGAUACUGUGAGCAGGAGUUGGAGAUUAUGGAUGGCUUCAUUCCUUCCAAUUGUGUAUUUAAUGUGGGAAAAACUGCCAGCAAAUAAAAGGCCAGAGGCUUGGGACACAGGA
Molecule: long non-coding RNA, 347 nt
Organism: Cyanistes caeruleus (blue tit)
Lineage: Eukaryota; Metazoa; Chordata; Aves; Passeriformes; Paridae
Source: RefSeq, a predicted model, not a curated record